GCUGAGGUAGCUCAACAGGUAGAGCGUACUUGCUAUAGCGUGACAGGCGAUGCAAGUAAGAUGUGUGUUUGAGACACACCCCCAGUUCCA
RNAcentral lists this transfer RNA (90 nucleotides) under Caudoviricetes sp. RNAcentral's name for it is "tRNA-Ser". Lineage: Duplodnaviria; Heunggongvirae; Uroviricota; Caudoviricetes. The record is from RNAcentral.